Molecule: ribosomal RNA, 402 nt
Filed under: Clostridium sartagoforme
Lineage: Bacteria; Bacillati; Bacillota; Clostridia; Eubacteriales; Clostridiaceae
Description: bacterial SSU rRNA
Rfam family: Bacterial small subunit ribosomal RNA
Source: RNAcentral
AGUGGGGAAUAUUGCACAAUGGGGGAAACCCUGAUGCAGCAACGCCGCGUGAGUGAUGAAGGUCUUCGGAUCGUAAAGCUCUGUCUUCAGGGACGAUAAUGACGGUACCUGAGGAGGAAGCCACGGCUAACUACGUGCCAGCAGCCGCGGUAAUACGUAGGUGGCGAGCGUUGUCCGGAUUUACUGGGCGUAAAGGGAGCGUAGGCGGAUUUUUAAGUGAGAUGUGAAAUACCCGGGCUCAACUUGGGUGCUGCAUUUCAAACUGGAAGUCUAGAGUGCAGGAGAGGAGAGUGGAAUUCCUAGUGUAGCGGUGAAAUGCGUAGAGAUUAGGAAGAACACCAGUGGCGAAGGCGACUCUCUGGACUGUAACUGACGCUGAGGCUCGAAAGCGUGGGGAGCAAA